This 1706-nucleotide long non-coding RNA is filed under the name Marmota monax (woodchuck). The record is from RNAcentral. Lineage: Eukaryota; Metazoa; Chordata; Mammalia; Rodentia; Sciuridae.
CUUUUCAGUUAAAUAGGUCUUCAUGGUAAUUUUUUAUGGCAGCACUAGGAAAAUUAACAUACUGCAAAUAUGAUAUAACAAAAUACCCAAAAAUGUGAAUGUAGUUUGGGGAUUAGGUAAUGUUUAGUGGCUGAUAGUAUUCUGAAGUGUUCAGUUGCCUUGAAGUAAUAGUUGACAGGAAUAGUAUUAGAGGCAAUCUGCAGAAGCCUUGGAAGGAAAUGAUGAGCAUGUUGGACAGUGGAGAAGAGGCAAUCUUUGUUAUAAAGUUGCAGAGAACUUCAGGGCUGAAUUGUGCUCUAUCAUUGGGUGUAAGUAGAGCUUGUAAGGAAUGAACUUGGAUGUUUACCUGAGAUUUCCAAGCUAAAUGUAGAUACAACCUGAAUUCUCCUUGCUGCUUAUACUAAGAUAUGAAAAGAGAAAUAGAGGAAUGAAUUGCUUAGCAAAAAGGGAACCAGCACAAAAGCAAAACAAAUAACCACUCAAUACUUUGGAAUGGUUUUAGUCUAUCCAUAUAGAUACUUAUGGACCCAACCUGCCAUCUCCGCAGUUCCCAGUAUAAGAUGCAGUAAUCAAGGAAAGAUCAGUGGAGAAUCCUCUGGUUUGAUGACUGGGAUCCCAUGAGUUACACAGGAGAGACUGAAAAGAAUUUUUGAGAAUUUUGUUGUAGCAGAAAAGGACAAAAAUGGGGUGAAAUGAAAGAACAGUGAUUGACAGUAGAACCAUAAAUGCAGAGGCCAAGCUGUAGGAGACUUCCUAGGAUCAGAAGGCAGGCUGUUGCCUCAGUGGGUCAGAGUACAAAGUACUUAUGCACAGAGGGUUAUUAUUGUUAGACCUUAAAAUAAAAUAGUUUGCUUUGCUAUUACUCACACUAACAUCUAUGUAUUAGAGUGUUUUCACAACUUUACCAGUAUAUUGUGUUAAGUAUUUUGAUCAUUAUGAACAUGAUGGUUGAAAAGAAGCAAAAAAUUGGGUAUUGCCUUAUCGUUUUAUUUGUUUCUUGCUUAUUGUAAGUAGAUAGAGCUUUUUUUUGUCUCCAUAUUUUUAUACCGAGGUGCCAUUUUUCUAUUGGGCUGUUAGAUUUUGCUUCUAGCUGAAAUGUAUCAUCCUGUGACCUCAAUAUGUACUGCCUUUAUCUAGGUCUAGGCACUCCCAAAUAUGAAAGUCAAUUUCUAAUGUUGACUUUUUAUUACUUGUUGUUCAGGAGAGUAUCACUUCAUUUACCCUUAAAAUGUGAUGAAAUGUAGACUAACAACAGAUUGUGUGUGUACCUGUGUGCAGUAUCUCACAGGACAUCUGAAACAAAACAACACUGGAGCUGGACUUUGCUAUGGGGUUGCUCUAUGGAUCAAUUCAAAUUCAUAGUGCAGUUCUAAGUAAAACUCUUUGAUUAGAGUCAAGGAAAGGCAAGGCAUUGUUUUUAAGAAAUUCCUUGCAACAUUGGUUGUUAAAACAUCUAGAACUGUGGUUCUUUCUUUUGGUUGCCUCUUAAUUUAAUCUCUCUUUUAACUUAGAGCUAAUGGCUAGAACUCCAUGAAUCAAAUUACUUCAGAGUAUUUUACAUACUUCAUAGCAUAUAAAAUUACUGCUUUGCAACAUGUUAAUGAUGUCAAGGAUAGGUUUUAUCUAGUAUCCUCAUCUUGUUUCUAAUAUUUCAGUAAUAACCUGGGUGUUUUGUUUUUUUCCUUUAGAAAACACUUAAUUUCUCC